GUGCUGGGGACCCACGCGGCACCGCGGGGAGGGGGCUCUGCGCGCUCAACCCCGUCCCUGGCAUUAUCCGCCGCCUCCACCCGCCGGCCUCCCGCAGCCUGGCCAGGGCCAUGAGGACCAAGCAGGUGAACUUGCUGAUCACCCUGGUCGCCGUCGCGUUGUUCAGCUUCUCUUGCUUCUCCAUCUACAGGAUAACUCAAACCAAGUAAUGAAGAUUAUUUACAUUCUGUUGUUAAAAUGAUUACAAAAAAAUUCAAAAGGCAAGUGAGGUCUGGAUCCUUAGAGGUCAUUUCAAUACCUGCCUUUUUAUACUCAAGCAUGUUAAAUGCCAAGCACUUAGCUGAGGCCUCACAAAAAUUAGCCAGGAUUGGGAGAGUUGGGGCAAUGUGUGCUCACGCAUUUCAUCAGAGGCCAAACAUAAAGUCACUUUGUGAAGGGAGUUAACAUUGGGUUUCUUCAAGAGGACCAUGAAGAGUUCCAGAGCUUGUGGAGACUACUUUCAAAAUAAAAACAAAAAAAGCCACCUUUCCUUUCCAAGUAAACCAAGGGUUGGCGAAUCAAACAGGUAUUGGAUUUUUGCAUUUUGUUGCUGUAUGCCCAACCCAAGGCCAAGUAUUAUUUACAGCUAGAAGAUGAUAUCAUAGCUAAAGAGAUGUACUUUACAAAAAUAACAGAUUUUGUAGGUAAUAUCAGUUCAAAUAAUUGGUUUUUUAUUGAGUUUUCAAUGCUUGGAUUCAUAGGUAAGCAAUGGAUUUACUUUGUUGGAUCAAGUUUUUUAGCACACAAUAAUUUAAAACAUUUUAAACAGUUUAUCAGUUUGUUUAUUACUAAAUGAAAAAGAAUGGCAUGAUUUUUAUAAAGACACUAUUAUCUUAACAGUAUAAUCAGAUGCAAGUACCUAAAUUCCAGAUAAUGUAUUUUCUUAACCAAACUUUUUUCUAGAGAGAUCAAAUUGACAUUUAGACACAUAAGUCAUAGAAACAUAAAAGAGUUACCAUUUAUUAAAUGCUUGCUGUGAGUCUGGCACACAUGUUAGCUGAGUAGCUAAGAUGUACUUUUCUCUGCUUUACAAGAAUACUGAAACUCAGAUAAUUAAAAUUGUAGAGAAAGGGACUUUAACUCAGUCGCUGCAAUUUCCAGUAUGCUAAAGCUGACAGUCUUAAAAAAUAUAAAAACAUAAUAAAAAUUAUACCCACCACAGAAAAUUUCCAAAUACUAUACCCAUUAUGAGAUCUUUUUUACUACCCUUCCUUAGAUUUUCCUUUUAAAUCCUUCAAUUUUUCUUUCUUCACUUCCAUGCUUUUUUCUUUCCUUUGAACCUCAAGUAUUACCAUACUGCUUAUAUUAUGGUGCAUGACAUUAUUGAUUCAUACAGGAGCUCUUCCUUAUGUAUUCUUUCCUUUUAUUCCCAAUCCCUACACCCUCUUCCUGCCACUCUUCAAUAUAUUGUUCACUCUAAUAUGUUCAAAAUACACUUAUAAAUAUACAAUAUCCAUGUGAAAUAUUUGGUGCUUUUCAUGUUUGUAUAUUCCUAUUCCUUACAUUUUUGUCCUCAAAACUUGAUUUCUAAAUUAUCAGCAUGUUGUUUUAUGUUCAUUUAGUUUAUUGGUUUUUUACUGCUACAUAAGUGCUGCAUAAUGAUGGUCACUGAAAUUUAUGCAUUCAGAAUUGUGCAAAGUGAGGACUACCUGUUUUGCACAUAGAGAUCAUGCAUAUAAAACUGUAACCUGCUUUUAAUUUUUUUACGUCAACAAUCCCAUGAUCAGCUGUCUUAUAGUCACAUCCAAAUUCACUUCCAGCAUUCACUGUCUGUGCUUUCAUCUGUCAUCCAGUUCUUUCUUUUGAUUACCUACUUUUGUUAAAUGUCAUGUGGAUUUAUCAUCAGAAGGCAAGGCAAGGCAACCACACGUUUUGCUGUCUACAAGUGAACUAAAUCUGGAUGCACAGUGACCCAUCACCAAAAGACUUUGAAAGAAGUGAUGACUUAUCACUUAUCACUCACAUUUGGCUUAUCUAUUUCCUGAGUGGCAGACCUUAAUUGCUUCCAAUUUUCUGCUGCCAUGAAAAAAUGAAGUGACAUAUAUGUCCCCUAGAGUGGACCACUGAGGAUUCACAUAGCUCUAAGUACUGCCAAUUGCUUUACAGAUUGGUUAUACGGUUUACGCUCUCAUAAGCAGUGCGUAAAAGUUCGUGCUUCCCCAUAUGCUUGACAACACUUGGUUUUAUCUAUUAUUAUAUGUAUAUAUUUGCCAUUCUCAGUAUAAAGCAUUUCUGGGAUUGCUAGUGAGAUCCAUCUGUUUUUCAUAUACUCACUCGAUGACUUUUGUUUUUCAUGUUUUCUGUAAAAUUUUAAGGGCCCAAAGGUUUUUCCUCAGCCUUGGUUAAAAUAAGAAGGAAAAUUAUUGUUAACAGUAAUACCCAAAGUAAGGCAUGCAGACAAAGUAAUCUUGCUGAUGGAUUAGUCUGAGAAUUUAAAAUUCUCAAAAAAAUUUAUCUUUCUCAGCAAAGUCAAGUAAGAGACACAUAGAGAAUGCUUACAUUCUGAUCACAAGAGCACAUUGAACAAGGAGCACUAUUUAUGGGAUGCCAAAUCUUAUUCAAGUUUUAACUUACAAAAGUUUUUCUUUUAGUUAUCAUAAUAGCAAUUCGGUUAUUCAUUAUUUGCUAAAAAUAUGAGCUUGCCAACUAGAAUUUUACAGCAUGGUGACAGCAGGUUAGGAAUUGAAUCAGCUAUUUUAUACAUCAUUAAAUCACUUGCUUUGGUUACUACAUAAAUAGGUGCAAAAAAUUAAAAAAUUAAAAUACAAUUAUACAUUUUAUUAAGUGACUCAUAUAAACUUAAGUUCUAGUGAAGAAUGAAGCAUGCUUACAUCCGACUUUCAUAUUUAUCAAAUCAUUAGAUGUAUUUUACAUUAUUUACUUUGAAGUGAAUAUGUACCUGAAUCUUAUCCCUUCAACUUCAUUUUAAAAUUAAAGAUGCAGUAUAUAAGAAAAAAACUAUUAGACCUAAUGGAAUAAUAUUUAAAAAUAUAGUAAAUCUUUAAGAAUAACAAAUAUAAAAGAAAAAUAACAUCCUGUUAAAAUAAUGCUCAAAUACUGAAAUGAGAGUACUUUAAUAAAAUUAAGUACUAACAACGAAAAAUGUAGUAGAUUGAUAAAGUGCUACAAAAAUCAGGUAAAAAAUACAGUUUGUACAAAAUUAAGUAAAAGAUUACAACGCCUAUAUAUUUCAUUCUAUUCACUUGUCUUUCACUUGAUUUAGACAAUCAAUCCUCAUGAGUUAUCACAAUUGAUUUCCUGAGAGUAUUGACUAUUCUAAACCUGCUUAUAUUCUCCUUCAGAUGUGGUAAUCCUUAAUACUUAAGCAGAUAUAGUGUUUAAUUUUAUCAUUGUCUAACUUCAGCAGUGCUUUAAUCUUUAUUUCUAAGGAAUGGGACAUAUUUAAAUUUUAAUAACUUUUGCUUUUUCCCAUGUUAAAGGAAUGAACAACUACAUAUGAAUUAUUUGCAUCUAAUUGUAUUUUUUUCCAUAGGAAAGCUGUUUAGAUCUGAGGACUUAACUCACUUUGUACGGUUUUUUUUAAUGUUCUACAAAGAGAAACCCAUAGACUGGCUCUUGAAUGACAUUUUUCAGGUAAAGGUGUGUGACGCAGGAGAAGAUCUUAGAAACUGUAUGAAACGAAAGAAGCAAAUACGUAUUCAGUAUAAACCUUCUCUUUUCCAGCAUGUGGGUAUACAUUCAUCAUUCCCUAGAAAAGAACAAUAUGAAAAA
Molecule: long non-coding RNA, 3771 nt
Filed under: Homo sapiens (human)
Lineage: Eukaryota; Metazoa; Chordata; Mammalia; Primates; Hominidae
Description: non-protein coding lnc-MGAT4D-3:3
Source: RNAcentral